GAUUCUAUGGUGCAAUGGUUAUGAUUCUGGGCUUUGAAUCCAGCGAUCCGAGUUGGAAUCUCAGUGGAACCA
This 72-nucleotide transfer RNA is filed under the name Stegodyphus mimosarum. It matches the Rfam family "tRNA". Rfam says of the family: Transfer RNA (tRNA) molecules are approximately 80 nucleotides in length. Their secondary structure includes four short double-helical elements and three loops (D, anti-codon, and T loops). Further hydrogen bonds mediate the characteristic L-shaped molecular structure. tRNAs have two regions of fundamental functional importance: the anti-codon, which is responsible for specific mRNA codon recognition, and the 3' end, to which the tRNAs corresponding amino acid is attached (by aminoacyl-tRNA synthetases). tRNAs cope with the degeneracy of the genetic code in two manners: having more than one tRNA (with a specific anti-codon) for a particular amino acid; and 'wobble' base-pairing, i.e. permitting non-standard base-pairing at the 3rd anti-codon position. The record is from Rfam by way of RNAcentral. Lineage: Eukaryota; Metazoa; Arthropoda; Arachnida; Araneae; Eresidae.